RNAcentral lists this ribosomal RNA (328 nucleotides) under uncultured Bacteroidota bacterium. Its description in RNAcentral is "bacterial SSU rRNA". It matches the Rfam family "Bacterial small subunit ribosomal RNA", at positions 28 to 351 of the family's 1533-position model. Lineage: Bacteria; Pseudomonadati; Bacteroidota. The record is from RNAcentral.
GAUGAACGCUAGCGGGAGGCUUAACACAUGCAAGUCGAGGGGCAUCACGGGGUAGCAAUACUCUGGUGGCGACCGGCGCACGGGUGAGUAACGCGUAUGCAACCUGCCCUGUACCGGAGGAUAACCCGGAGAAAUUCGGACUAAUACUCCAUAAAGAUAUUUUGAGGCAUCUUGAGAUAUUUAAAACCACGGUGGUACGGGAUGGGCAUGCGUAACAUUAGCUAGUUGGCAGGGUAAUGGCCUACCAAGGCAUCGAUGUUUAGGGGACCUGAGAGGGUGAACCCCCACACUGGUACUGAGACACGGACCAGACUCCUACGGGUGGCUG